Molecule: long non-coding RNA, 516 nt
Organism: Papaver somniferum (opium poppy)
Lineage: Eukaryota; Viridiplantae; Streptophyta; Magnoliopsida; Ranunculales; Papaveraceae
Exons: 2
Source: RefSeq, a predicted model, not a curated record
AAAACAAACAAAAAAAACUCAUUUUUCAUUGUUUUAUUCAACACUCUCUUCUCCUUAAAGCACUGUUUCUUUCCAACUUUCUCAAGCAGAUCAGAAAUUAUUGAUUUGUGAAGACAAAUUUGGAUGCAACUUCUAUCCCAUUUUCGAUAAAGGAUAUUGAGACACAACGAGUAUGAAGAGAAGUUGCGGUAGUAAGCCGAGCAGAGCUUACAGAAACAUUAGCGUCAUGAAAGUUAGUAUCCUGUUACAUUUUGUUGUGUAUAUCACGGGGUACCUUGGUGUUUAGUUUGUUUUCCUCGAUCCCAUUCCAUUUUUGUAUAUUUUACCGCUAUCAUUGGGAUCUUGUAAAUGAUCUUUUUAUGGUCUGCAACUGAAAACUUGCCGGUUUGGCAUAUAAUAGGUCCAGUCUUGGGCGUUGCAACAAUGCUUCUGAAUCCCUUUGUUGUCAAAUAUUUAUGUACUGCAGGCAUACUCAUUUAUGCAUUAUUAAGUGCUUGUUCAAUUUUUUUUUUAAAA